UCAAGCUACAAAGGGCUUACGGAGGAUGCCUUGGUACGUGGCGCCGAAGAAGGACGUGACAAGCUGCGAAAAGUUGCGGAGAGGAGCAAAUAUCCAAAGACCCGCAAAUAUCCGAAUGAGGGAACUCCGUACGAGUAACAUCGUGCGAUCCCGUACCGAACAAAAUAGGUACGAGGAGGGGAACUCGGGGAACUGAAACAUCUAAGUACCCGAAGGAAAAGAAAACAACAGUGAUUCCGAAAGUAGUGGCGAGCGAAAUCGGAGGAGCCCAAACCGAAGAUAGAAAUAUUUUAGGGGUAAGGAGCCGCGAGAAGUCAAGAAAGAAUCUAACCGAACUAUCUGGAAAGGUAGAUCAGAGAGGGUGAAAAUCCCGUAGGUGAAAGAGGGAAUAAGGCGAGCGGAAAUCCGGAGUACGUCGGGACACGAGAAAUCCUGACGGAAGGAACGGGGACCAUCCCGUAAGGCUAAAUACGACCACGUGACCGAUAGCGAAUAGUACCGUGAGGGAAAGGUGAAAAGGACCCCGGGAGGGGAGUGAAAAAGAACCUGAAACCGUAAGUUUACAAGCAGACGGAGAGCGUUAAGUGCUCGACGUCGUACUUUUUGUAGAACGGGCCGGCGAGUUACGAUGUGAUGCGAGGUUAAGCGAUGAAGUCGCGGAGCCGAAGCGAAAGCGAAUCUGAAGAGGGUGAGAAGUAUCAUGUCGUAGACCCGAAACCGAAUGACCUAACCAUGAGCAGGUUGAAGCAAUGGUAAAACGUUGUGGAGGACCGAACACACGCCUGUUGAAAUAGUCGGUGAUGACUUGUGGUUAGCGGAGAAAUUCCAAACGAAUUCGGAUAUAGCUGGUUCUCCUCGAAAUAGCUUUAGGGCUAGCCUCGCAUAUGAACCUUGAAGGUAGAGCACUGAAUGACCUAGGGGGCUUCACAGCCUACCGAAGUUUAUCAAACUCCGAAUGUCAAGGUGGAAGAGUGCGGGAGUCAGACAGCGACAGCUAAGUGCCGUUGUCAAAAGGGAAACAGCCCAGAUCUACAGCUAAGGUCCCGAAGUACAGGUUAAGUGGAAAAGGAUGUGACGAUGCAAAGACAACCAGGAUGUUGGCUCAGAAGCAGCCACACAUUAAAAGAGUGCGUAAUAGCUCACUGGUCGAGUGACGUUGCGCCGAAAAUUAACGGGGCUCAAACCUGACACCGAAGCUUAGGAAUACUUUAAAGAGUAUUGGUAGAGGAGCAAUGUAUACGAGAAGAAGGCGUACCGGAAGGAGCGCUGGAUUGUAUAGAAGAGAGAAUGCCGGCAUAAGUAGCGAGAGCGGAGCGAGAAACUCCGCCGUCGAAAGUCUGAGGUUUUCCGGGGAAGGUUCGUCCGCCCGGAGAAAGUCGGGACCUAAGCGGAGGCCGAAAGGCGUACGUGAUGGACAGCAGGUUGAUAUUCCUGCACUACCGAGAGAGUAAAUGAAGCAAUGACACGGAAAGAUAGAAGAAGCGCGCGGAUGGAAAAGCGCGUCCAAGCAAAGAGGGUGGCUGGUAGUAAAGAACGCCAGUCGGAAGCCUGAUUUGUGACGGGGAGUGGACCAAGGAAACGAAGUCUUUGAAUCUACGCCGGCGAGAAAAGUUGCUAAAUGUUUCGAGGUACCCGUACCGCAAACCGACACAGGUAGACGAGAAGAAAAUUCUAAGACGAACGGGAGAACCCUUGUUAAGGAACUCGGCAAAACGACCCCGUAACUUCGGGAGAAGGGGAGCCAUCGAGAGAUGGCCGCAGUGAAGAGGCCCAAGCGACUGUUUAUCAAAAACACAGGUUUCUGCUAAGGCGAAAGCCAAGGUAUAGGAGCUGACUCCUGCCCAGUGCCGGAAGGUCAAGGGGACUUGUUAGUCGAAAGGCGAAGCAACGAACUUAAGCCCCGGUGAACGGCGGCCGUAACUAUAACGGUCCUAAGGUAGCGAAAUUCCUUGUCGGGUAAGUUCCGACCCGCACGAAAGGUGUAACGAUUUGGGCACUGUCUCAACGAGGGACCCGGUGAAAUUGAAGUACCUGUGAAGAUGCAGGUUACCCGCGACUGGACAGAAAGACCCCAUGGAGCUUUACUGUAACCUGACAUUGGGUUCUGAUACAUCACGUACAGGAUAGGUGGGAGGCAUGGAAGCGAGGACGCUAGUCUUCGUGGAGCCGCCGUUGGGAUACCACCCUUGAUGUAUCGGAAUUCUAACCGUAGGAGUAACGAAACUCGGGACAGUGUCAGGCGGGCAGUUUGACUGGGGCGGUCGCCUCCCAAAGAGUAACGGAGGCGCCCAAAGGUUCCCUCAGCGCGGCCGGAAAUCGCGCGAAGAGUGUAAAGGCAGAAGGGAGCUUGACUGAGAGCCAAACACGGCGAUCAGGUACGAAAGUAGGGCUUAGUGAUCCGGUGGCAUCCAAGUGGAAGGGCCAUCGCUCAACGGAUAAAAGCUACCCUGGGGAUAACAGGCUAAUCUCUCCCAAGAGUCCAUAUCGACGGGGAGGUUUGGCACCUCGAUGUCGGCUCAUCACAUCCUGGGGCUGAAGUCGGUCCCAAGGGUUGGGCUGUUCGCCCAUUAAAGUGGUACGUGAGCUGGGUUCAGAACGUCGUGAGACAGUUCGGUCCCUAUCCAUCGCGGGCGCAAGAGAUUUGAAGGGGGCUGCUCCUAGUACGAGAGGACCGGAGUGGACGAACCAAUGGUGUACCAAUUAUCUCGCCAGAGGUAUAGUUGGGUAGCUACGUUCGGAAAGGAUAAACGCUGAAAGCAUCUAAGCGUGAAACCAGCCUUAAGAUGAGAUCUCUCAUAGAGUAAUCUAGUAAGACACCUUGGAGAAGACGAGGUUGAUAGGUCGGGAGUGUAAGUACAGUAAUGUAUUCAGCGGACCGAUACUAAUAUGUCGAGGGCUUGACUUA
RNAcentral lists this ribosomal RNA (2905 nucleotides) under human gut metagenome. RNAcentral's name for it is "bacterial LSU rRNA". It matches the Rfam family "Bacterial large subunit ribosomal RNA". The record is from RNAcentral.